CUGGCCCAGCUGAUUGAUGGUGCUUGCACCUGAUUGACGAUGGAUCACCAGUGAGUGGCGGACGGGUGAGUAACACGUAGGUAACCUGCCCCCGGAGCGGGGGAUAACAUUUGGAAACAGAUGCUAAUACCGCAUAACAACAAAAGCCACAUGGCUUUUGUUUGAAAGAUGGCUUUGGCUAUCACUCUGGGAUGGACCUGCGGUGCAUUAGCUAGUUGGUAAGGUAACGGCUUACCAAGGCGAUGAUGCAUAGCCGAGUUGAGAGACUGAUCGGCCACAAUGGAACUGAGACACGGUCCAUACUCCUACGGGAGGCAGCAGUAGGGAAUCUUCCACAAUGGGCGCAAGCCUGAUGGAGCAACACCGCGUGAGUGAAGAAGGGUUUCGGCUCGUAAAGCUCUGUUGUUGGAGAAGAACGUGCGUGAGAGUAACUGUUCACGCAGUGACGGUAUCCAACCAGAAAGUCACGGCUAACUACGUGCCAGCAGCCGCGGUAAUACGUAGGUGGCAAGCGUUAUCCGGAUUUAUUGGGCGUAAAGCGAGCGCAGGCGGUUGCUUAGGUCUGAUGUGAAAGCCUUCGGCUUAACCGAAGAAGUGCAUCGGAAACCGGGCGACUUGAGUGCAGAAGAGGACAGUGGAACUCCAUGUGUAGCGGUGGAAUGCGUAGAUAUAUGGAAGAACACCAGUGGCGAAGGCGGCUGUCUGGUCUGCAACUGACGCUGAGGCUCGAAAGCAUGGGUAGCGAACAGGAUUAGAUACCCUGGUAGUCCAU
This 772-nucleotide ribosomal RNA is filed under the name uncultured bacterium. RNAcentral describes it as "bacterial SSU rRNA". It matches the Rfam family "Bacterial small subunit ribosomal RNA", at positions 58 to 798 of the family's 1533-position model. The record is from RNAcentral.